AGAGUUUGAUUAUGGCUCAGGAUGAACGCUAGCUACAGGCUAACACAUGCAAGUCGAGGGGCAGCACGGGGCAUGGCUUGCCAUACCCUGGUGGCGACCGGCGCACGGGUGAGUAACGCGUAUCCAACCUGCCCGCAACCGCGGAAUAGCCCGCCGAAAGGCGGAUUAAUGCCGCAUGAGCUCGCUGGGGGCAUCUGCCCGCGAGCAAAGGUUCACUCCGGUUGCGGAUGGGGAUGCGUCCGAUUAGGCUGCAGGCGGGGCAACGGCCCACCUGGCCUACGAUCGGUAGGGGUUCUGAGAGGAAGGUCCCCCCACAUUGGAACUGAGACACGGUCCAAACUCCUACGGGAGGCAGCAGUGAGGAAUAUUGGUCAAUGGGCGCGAGCCUGAACCAGCCCAAGUAGCGUGGGGGAUGACUGCCCUAUGGGUUGUAAACCCCUUUUGCGCGGGGAUAAACCGGCGGACGUGUCCGUCGCUGCAGGUACCGCGCGAAUAAGGACCGGCUAAUUCCGUGCCAGCCGCCGC
This 525-nucleotide ribosomal RNA is filed under the name uncultured bacterium. RNAcentral describes it as "bacterial SSU rRNA". It matches the Rfam family "Bacterial small subunit ribosomal RNA", at positions 8 to 518 of the family's 1533-position model. The record is from RNAcentral.